UUUUUUAGUCAUCUUCAAGCAAGGAACUAAUUACCACUCCAUCUUCAUCCAUGAGUAACCAGAGUCCAAUUGUCUAUGCACAAGAUGAAUCCAGCAAUAAUACACCUCCCAUUCCCCAACUUGCAGCUACUGACACCGACAAAGACAAUCUCAUUAAGUCUACAGCAAAACGAAGCAUUCAGUUUACGGAACAUGAUCUGAUGAACAAAAGAAGGUAUCCUGCAGCUACAAAACGUCAUAUUUAGUCAUGGUCUAACUAUUUUGCUUGAUAAAUUAACCAAUUGUUUACAUGGUGCAGUGAA
This is a long non-coding RNA of Brachypodium distachyon (stiff brome), 302 nucleotides long. RefSeq lists it as uncharacterized. The transcript has 3 exons. NCBI's taxonomy places the organism in Eukaryota, Viridiplantae, Streptophyta, Magnoliopsida, Poales, Poaceae. The record is from RefSeq and is a predicted model, not a curated record.